Molecule: long non-coding RNA, 347 nt
Filed under: Bos taurus (domestic cattle)
Lineage: Eukaryota; Metazoa; Chordata; Mammalia; Artiodactyla; Bovidae
Description: long non-coding RNA NONBTAT024162
Source: RNAcentral
UCUACCGUUCACCCAUCCGUGUAUUCAUCCAACCAACCAUUUAGCCUAUAUUUUUUGAGUACUUUCUAUCACCUAAGUUCCAUUCUAGACUCUAGCUCUCCGUUGAACCCAUGCUUAAGUCUAAUCGUGUUCUAAGAAACACACUAUUGUAGUCAUCAGUGGCUUAUGUAGUGGCCUUGUCUAUUUUUCUGAAUCUACUUGAUAAUUGUAGAACAGUGUAAACCUUAUCCUCUGCCCAACAGUUCAAGAGCCAAUGUCUCAGUUCAAGUACUUGAGGUGUUGCCAAUGUCUUUUAGGGAAAAGAAUUGAAAAAAGGGGUCAAAAAGAGUGCCCACCAUGUCUGGGUA